GAUGAACGCUGGCGGCGUGCCUAAUACAUGCAAGUCGAGCGAACAGACGAGGAGCUUGCUCCUCUGACGUUAGCGGCGGACGGGUGAGUAACACGUGGAUAACCUACCUAUAAGACUGGGAUAACUUCGGGAAACCGGAGCUAAUACCGGAUAAUAUAUUGAACCGCAUGGUUCAAUAGUGAAAGACGGUUUUGCUGUCACUUAUAGAUGGAUCCCGGCCGCAUUAGCUAGUUGGUAAGGUAACGGCUUACCAAGGCAACGAUGCGUAGCCGACCUGAGAGAGUGGUCGGCCACACUGGAACGGAGACACGGUCCAGACUCCUACGGGAGGCAGCAGUAGGGAAUCUUCCGCAAUGGGCGAAAGCCUGACGGAGCAACGCCGCGUGAGUGAUGAAGGUCUUCGGAUCGUAAAACUCUGUUAUUAGGGAAGAACAAAUGUGUAAGUAACUAUGCACGUCUUGACGGUACCUAAUCAGAAAGCCACGGCUAACUACGUG
RNAcentral lists this ribosomal RNA (497 nucleotides) under uncultured bacterium. Its description in RNAcentral is "partial 16S ribosomal RNA". It matches the Rfam family "Bacterial small subunit ribosomal RNA", at positions 28 to 507 of the family's 1533-position model. The record is from RNAcentral.